RNAcentral lists this ribosomal RNA (466 nucleotides) under uncultured bacterium. RNAcentral's name for it is "partial 16S ribosomal RNA". It matches the Rfam family "Bacterial small subunit ribosomal RNA", at positions 28 to 507 of the family's 1533-position model. The record is from RNAcentral.
GAUGAACGCUGGCGGCGUGCUUAACACAUGCAAGUCGAACGAUGAAGCCCAGCUUGCUGGGUGGAUUAGUGGCGAACGGGUGAGUAACACGUGAGUAACCUGCCCUUAACUCUGGGAUAAGCCUGGGAAACUGGGUCUAAUACCGGAUAGGAGCGUCCACCGCAUGGUGGGUGUUGGAAAGAUUUAUCGGUUUUGGAUGGACUCGCGGCCUAUCAGCUUGUUGGUGAGGUAAUGGCUCACCAAGGCGACGACGGGUAGCCGGCCUGAGAGGGUGACCGGCCACACGGGGACUGAGAGACGGCCCAGACUCGUACGGGAGGCAGCAGUGGGGAAUAUUGCACAAUGGGCGCAAGCCUGAUGCAGCGACGCCGCGUGAGGGAUGACGGCCUUCGGGUUGUAAACCUCUUUCAGUAGGGAAGAAGCGAAAGUGACGGUACCUGCAGAAGAAGCACCGGCUAACUACGUG